CCUACGGGGGGCUGCAGUGGGGAAUAUUGGACAAUGGGCGAAAGCCUGAUCCAGCCAUACCGCGUGUGUGAAGAAGGCCUUCGGGUUGUAAAGCACUUUCAGUGGGGAAGAAAGCCUUGGGGCUAAUACCCUCGAGGAAGGACAUCACCCACAGAAGAAGCACCGGCUAACUCCGUGCCAGCAGCCGCGGUAAUACGGAGGGUGCGAGCGUUAAUCGGAAUUACUGGGCGUAAAGCGCGCGUAGGCGGUCUGAUAAGCCGGUUGUGAAAGCCCCGGGCUCAACCUGGGAACGGCAUCCGGAACUGUCAGGCUAGAGUGCAGGAGAGGAAGGUAGAAUUCCCGGUGUAGCGGUGAAAUGCGUAGAGAUCGGGAGGAAUACCAGUGGCGAAGGCGGCCUUCUGGACUGACACUGACGCUGAGGUGCGAAAGCGUGGGUAGCAAACAGGAUUAGAUACCCUUGUAGUC
This 465-nucleotide ribosomal RNA is filed under the name Vreelandella stevensii. RNAcentral's name for it is "partial 16S ribosomal RNA". It matches the Rfam family "Bacterial small subunit ribosomal RNA", at positions 338 to 795 of the family's 1533-position model. Lineage: Bacteria; Pseudomonadati; Pseudomonadota; Gammaproteobacteria; Oceanospirillales; Halomonadaceae. The record is from RNAcentral.